GAACCUGCGGAAGGAUCAUUAUUGAAAUAAACCUGAUGGGUUGUUGCUGGCUCUCUAGGGAGCAUGUGCACACCUUGUCAUCUUUAUAUUUCCACCUGUGCACCUUUUGUAGACCCUCCCAGGUCUAUGUUUGCUUCAUUUACCCCCGAUGUAUGUUAAUAGAAUGUUGUGCCUAUAAAAUAUAUACAACUUUCAGCAACGGAUCUCUUGGCUCUCGCAUCGAUGAAGAACGCAGCGAAAUGCGAUAAGUAAUGUGAAUUGCAGAAUUCAGUGAAUCAUCGAAUCUUUGAACGCACCUUGCGCUCCUUGGUAUUCCGAGGAGCAUGCCUGUUUGAGUGUCAUUAAUAUAUAUAUAUCAACCCCCUCUUGUUGAGCGGUUUGGAUGUGGAGGUUUUUGCUGGCCGCCUAGAAAGGGUUCAGCUCCUCUGAAAUACAUUAGCGGAACAAACCUGUCCAUUCAUUGGUGUGAUAACUAUCUACGCUAUUGAAUGUGAGGCAGUUCAGCUUUCUAACGGUCCUUUGGACAACCUAUCAUUUUUAUGUGACCUCAAAUCAGGUAGGACUACCCGCUGAACUUAAGCAUAUCAAUAAGCGGAGGAAAAGAAACUAACAAGGAUUCCCCUAGUAACUGCGAGUGAAGCGGGAAAAGCUCAAAUUUAAAAUCUGGCGGUCUUUUGGCUGUCCGAGUUGUA
Molecule: ribosomal RNA, 692 nt
Filed under: Cortinarius pinigaudis
Lineage: Eukaryota; Fungi; Basidiomycota; Agaricomycetes; Agaricales; Cortinariaceae
Description: eukaryotic LSU rRNA
Rfam family: 5.8S ribosomal RNA (bases 188-341)
Source: RNAcentral